RNAcentral lists this ribosomal RNA (255 nucleotides) under Escherichia coli. Its description in RNAcentral is "partial 23S ribosomal RNA". It matches the Rfam family "Bacterial large subunit ribosomal RNA", at positions 230 to 523 of the family's 2925-position model. Lineage: Bacteria; Pseudomonadati; Pseudomonadota; Gammaproteobacteria; Enterobacterales; Enterobacteriaceae. The record is from RNAcentral.
CGAGAUUCCCCCAGUAGCGGCGAGCGAACGGGGAGCAGCCCAGAGCCUGAAUCAGUGUGUGUGUUAGUGGAAGCGUCUGGAAAGGCGCGCGAUACAGGGUGACAGCCCCGUACACAAAAAUGCACAUGCUGUGAGCUCGAUGAGUAGGGCGGGACACGUGGUAUCCUGUCUGAAUAUGGGGGGACCAUCCUCCAAGGCUAAAUACUCCUGACUGACCGAUAGUGAACCAGUACCGUGAGGGAAAGGCGAAAAGAA